UGCGUAGGUGGUCCGUUAAGUUCGUUGUGAAAUCCCUGGGCUCAACCCAGGAACUGCUUCGAAUACUGGCGGACUUGAGGCCAGUAGGGGUCACUAGAACUGACGGUGGAGCGGUGAAAUGCGUAGAUAUCGUCAGGAAUGCCGGUGGUGAAGACGGGUGACUGGGCUGGUUCUGACACUGAAGCACGAAAGCGUGGGGAGCGAACGGGAUUAGAUACCCCGGUAGUCCACGCCCUAAACGAUGCAGACUAGAUUGCAGCGGGUCUUACCCCGUUGCGGUCGGAGCGAAAUUGUUAAGUCUGCCACCUGGGAAGUACGGUCGCAAGGCUAAA
This 332-nucleotide ribosomal RNA is filed under the name uncultured bacterium. Its description in RNAcentral is "bacterial SSU rRNA". It matches the Rfam family "Bacterial small subunit ribosomal RNA", at positions 568 to 898 of the family's 1533-position model. The record is from RNAcentral.